Molecule: ribosomal RNA, 304 nt
Filed under: uncultured bacterium
Lineage: Bacteria
Description: partial 16S ribosomal RNA
Rfam family: Bacterial small subunit ribosomal RNA
Source: RNAcentral
CAGCAGUAGCCGCGGUAAUACGUAGGGUGCAAGCGUUAAUCGGAAUUACUGGGCGUAAAGCGUGCGCAGGCGGUUUUGUAAGACAGAGGUGAAAUCCCCGGGCUCAACCUGGGAACUGCCUUUGUGACUGCAAGGCUAGAGUACGGCAGAGGGGGAUGGAAUUCCGCGUGUAGCAGUGAAAUGCGUAGAUAUGCGGAGGAACACCGAUGGCGAAGGCAAUCCCCUGGGCCUGUACUGACGCUCAUGCACGAAAGCGUGGGGAGCAAACAGGAUUAGAUACCCGAGUAGUCCCUGUCUCUUAUAC